This 253-nucleotide ribosomal RNA is filed under the name uncultured bacterium. RNAcentral describes it as "partial 16S ribosomal RNA". It matches the Rfam family "Bacterial small subunit ribosomal RNA", at positions 524 to 776 of the family's 1533-position model. The record is from RNAcentral.
GACAGAGGGUGCAAACGUUGUUCGGAAUUACUGGGCGUAAAGGGCGCGUAGGCGGCCUUCUAAGUCAGACGUGAAAUCCCUCGGCUCAACCGGGGAACUGCGUCUGAGACUGGAAGGCUUGAAUCCGGGAGAGGGAUGUGGAAUUCCAGGUGUAGCGGUGAAAUGCGUAGAUAUCUGGAGGAACACCGGUGGCGAAGGCGGCAUCCUGGACCGGUAUUGACGCUGAGGCGCGAAAGCCAGGGGAGCAAACGGG